GGGUGCUCGAGUGGCGAACGGGUGAGUAUUACGUGAGUAACCUGCCCUCAACUGUGGGAUAAGCCUGGGAAACUGGGUCUAAUACUGCAUAUUCUUCUUUCACCGCAUGGUGGGGGUUGGAAAGUUUUUUCGGUUGGGGAUGGGCUCGCGGCCUAUCAGCUUGUUGGUGGGGUGAUGGCCUACCAAGGCGGUGACGGGUAGCCGGCCUGAGAGGGUGGUCGGCCACAUUGGGACUGAGAUACGGCCCAGACUCCUACGGGAGGCAGCAGUGGGGGAUAUUGCACAAUGGGCGCAAGCCUGAUGCAGCGACGCCGCGUGAGGGAUGAAGGCUUUCGGGUUGUAAACCUCUUUCGGUACAGAACAAGGCACGUUUUUUGCGUGUGGAGGGUAUGUGCAGAAGAAGCGCCGGCUAACUACGUGCCAGCAGCCGCGGUAAUACGUAGGGCGCGAGCGUUGUCCGGAAUUAUUGGGCGUAAAGGGCUCGUAGGCGGCUUGUUGCGCCUGCUGUGAAAACGCGGGGCUUAACUCCGCGCGUGCAGUGGGUACGGGCAGGCUUGAGUGUGGUAGGGGUGACUGGAAUUCCAGGUGUAGCGGUGGAAUGCGCAGAUAUCUGGAGGAACACCGAUGGCGAAGGCAGGUCACUGGGCCAUUACUGACGCUGAGGAGCGAAAGCGUGGGUAGCGAACAGGAUUAGAUACCCUGGUAGUCCACGCUGUAAACGUUGGGAACUAGGUGUGGGGCCCUUUUCCGGGGUUCUGCGCCGUAGCUAACGCAUUAAGUUCCCCGCCUGGGGAGUACGGCCGCAAGGCUAAAACUCAAAGGAAUUGACGGGGGCCCGCACAAGCGGCGGAGCAUGCGGAUUAAUUCGAUGCAACGCGAAGAACCUUACCAAGGCUUGACAUACACCGGGAGCAUGCAGAGAUGUGUGUGCCUUUUUGGCUGGUGUACAGGUGGUGCAUGGUUGUCGUCAGCUCGUGUCGUGAGAUGUUGGGUUAAGUCCCGCAACGAGCGCAACCCUUGUCUCGUGUUGCCAGCGCGUUAUGGUGGGGACUCACGAGAGACUGCCGGGGUUAACUCGGAGGAAGGUGGGGAUGACGUCAAAUCAUCAUGCCCCUUAUGUCUUGGGCUUCACGCAUGCUACAAUGGCCGGUACAGUGGGUUGCGAUACUGUGAGGUGGAGCGAAUCUCUGAAAGCCGGUCUCAGUUCGGAUC
Molecule: ribosomal RNA, 1212 nt
Filed under: Actinobaculum massiliense
Lineage: Bacteria; Bacillati; Actinomycetota; Actinomycetes; Actinomycetales; Actinomycetaceae
Description: bacterial SSU rRNA
Rfam family: Bacterial small subunit ribosomal RNA
Source: RNAcentral